This 89-nucleotide transfer RNA is filed under the name Gaiellales bacterium. Its description in RNAcentral is "tRNA-Ser". It matches the Rfam family "tRNA". From Rfam's summary of the family: Transfer RNA (tRNA) molecules are approximately 80 nucleotides in length. Lineage: Bacteria; Bacillati; Actinomycetota; Thermoleophilia; Gaiellales. The record is from RNAcentral.
GGAGGGGUGGCGGAGUUCGGCUUAACGCACCGGUCUUGAAAACCGGCAGGCCCGCAAGGGUCUCAUGGGUUCAAAUCCCAUCCCCUCCG